This 228-nucleotide ribosomal RNA is filed under the name Acanthamoeba castellanii. RNAcentral's name for it is "partial 18S ribosomal RNA". The stretch from base 1 to 185 matches the Rfam family "Eukaryotic small subunit ribosomal RNA", at positions 933 to 1116 of the family's 1831-position model. The record is from RNAcentral. Lineage: Eukaryota; Discosea; Longamoebia; Acanthamoebidae.
UGAUAUACUUUCUGCGAAGCAUCUGCCAAGGAUGUUUUCAUUAAUCAAGAACGAAAGUUAGGGGAUCGAAGACGAUCAGAUACCGUCGUAGUCUUAACCAUAAACGAUGCCGACCAGCGAUUAGGAGACGUUGAAUACAAAACACCACCAUCGGUUGCGCGGUCGUCCUUGGCGUCUCGGUUUCGGCCGGGGCGCGGGGAUGGCUUAGCCCGGUGGCACCGGUGAAUG